Molecule: long non-coding RNA, 1210 nt
Filed under: Takifugu rubripes (torafugu)
Lineage: Eukaryota; Metazoa; Chordata; Actinopteri; Tetraodontiformes; Tetraodontidae
Description: lncRNA (ENSTRUG00000026391.1)
Source: RNAcentral
CGCGAAAUUAGCACGCAAAUGUGUUUUUCAAGUGGCUUGAUCUGAUCGGUGUUUGUGUGUGAGGCUUUAAUGAGGCCGCGCGUGUGUGCGCGCACGUGUGCGCGGCUUUUCCCACAAAACACCCAGAGACCACGAGGAUUACCCAGAGCAGAGAGGACAGCAUCUGUUUGCGAGCUUGUGCCGAGCAAACAAGGCAAUUUAGAGAACGCCGAGGGAGCGUCUAAUAAACACAACCUUAUUCCCCUUUCUUCCCACACCUGGCUCUGAAUAAUGCAGCGAGGACGCCCGUCCGUUUCCGUGCGAGACCGUGCGGGCCGGCACCGGGUCGACCCGGGCGGGAGGAUUUACUGGUGCAUGUAUUUGUCAGCGAAUAUGUGGCGUGAGCUCAUUCUGUACCCCAUAUGUCUGCCCUGGAUACCUGGACGCAGCGUUUCACUGUACACAAACAAGGCUGAGAGGUGCCAUUUGUCUACCACAGAUGCUAGCCCGCUAGCUUAAGGGGCAGUUGUGACUUUGAUUGGACAUGUUUAACAAGCUCGGCGUUCGAUUCGGCACAGCCUUCCUGGAUGUUCCACUCAACUGUUAGAGCAGAGGUGUUAGCUAGACCUGCAGCUCUGCUCACCGCCGCCGCGCGCUCUGAUAUGAAGCCAAAGUGACACCCUGUGCAACCAUGCAUCAGACCAGACACAAAAUGGCUGUCCGUGCCACUACUCUGCCUAGGAUUUCACCACAUAUCACAGUGAAAAUUAUGUGCAGGUAUAAGAAAUUUCAUCUCUUCACGCGCUUUCUUUCAUCUUGCUUAUUUUGCUUGUUUUUGCUGACAGAGUCCAGUCAAUCAACGUGCUGGUCCAGUUUACUCUUCAACCAUCACCUUUGGAGUUACACACUGGCCUCACAUUUGCAGGGGACAGAGUGGAGAGGAGGAUGGACCACGACGACCUAGCCGGAGCGGUAAUUCCUGAAAACCAAUCUCACACCGCCAUUACGUCCUGUAAUGGUCAAGAUCCGCAGCCUCGGUGCAAAGAUAUAAAAAUAGAUGUAAAGCGGAGUGAAAUUCAAUUACACUAAAGAGGUUUUGCACAGUAAAAAUAUUUUAUCAUUUGACGAUUAACAGGAUGGUUUAAUGGCUGAAGGUCACACGCCCUCUUGUCUUGCACUAAGAUCAGGCCUCUGUAAAGUAACAGGGGGUGUGUGUUUAAUGACAACGUCC